UUUACAGGAUGGGAGGGGUGAGGAGGGGGGAGUGAGUACAAGGGGGAGGAGGGAGGGGGAUCAGGGAAGGGGAGUUAGGAGUGUCCAAUCCUACUGCUGCAUCCUCCUUCCAUCCAAUGGAUGCUCUGGAAGGAGAUGCAAUGGAAUUUAAAUUAGAGGCUUGCCUGUUGGCCAGCCCACAAUUUUCCUUGGCUUACAUAGAGACUUGAGAGUACUUCCACUGGGACUCUCUGUUUCCAUUGUUGGCUGGCCUGCUGGUGCUGGAGGACUUCACUGAGGAAAAGAGGACUUCACCUGGAGGAUUCCUGCCUGCCUGCCUGCCUGCCUGACCUUUGCUGGACUGCAGGACUGACUUGAUGGAAAGGACAACGAAAGAACAUAUGAAUGAUUCCACUUCACCAAUGGAGCAACGGCAGCGUCUAUCCUCAUAUGGGAUCUUUCUAUAACUUCACAACGGACCAAGAUGGGACAUCCAAAUGUGAUCGCUUCUUGGGGCGUCUGCCAAAUGCCAUCACCUUUGUUUUAUCAAAGUUGAUUGUUAGGUGUUCUUUGUCGCAGUAUGUUGUGAAUCUAUCUAGCACCCUUCGGAGUCCUAAUGGGGUCCUGGCUAAUAGGACUGCAUCAUCUGCAUAGAGCAGAACUGGUAAAUGGCGUGAAGCAAGCUUCGGCGGAUGGAAAUUGAGGUCAAUCAUAUAUUUCACCAUGUCACUGAUGUAAUAAUUAAAUAACACGGGGGCCAAUAGGCAGCCCUGCCUAAUGCCUUUAAAUGUUUUUAUUGCUCCAGUGAGUAGUCCCUGCCGGUUACAUCUCACUCUCAGAUAUGAUUCCUCAUGCAGGGAGUGGAUGAGAAAUAAUAAUCUUUUAUCUAUGCUAGAGCCCUCUAGUUUUUGCCACAAUCUCUGUCUAGAGAUAGACUCAAAAGCUGCCUUCAAAUCAAUGAAGGCAGCAUAUAGAGAAGUUGGACCUUUGGCAGAGUAUUUUUCUAUCAACUGUUGAAGCACCAGGCAAUGCUCAACCGUCGACCUCCCUACCCUAAAACCUGCCUGUCCCAGUGGAAUAAUUUCUUCCUGUUCUAACCAUAUUUCAAGUUUAUCUAAAAGGUGUCUUGUGUAUAUUUUACUGAUGAUGCUUAAGAGACUUAUGGGCCUAUAGUUUGCUGGCUCAUUUUUGUAGCCCUUCUUAAAUAUAGGGACCACAAUAGCAGUCCCCCACUGCUUUGGAAUUCAGCCAGUUUGGUCUAUGUACAUAAACAGGGUUGCAAGAAACUGCGCCCACCAAUCUACAUUCUCUUUUAAUGCUUCAGGAGGUAUUCCAUCCAUACCUGGGGCCUUCCCAUUUUUUAAACGGGCUAUGUGGGCUCUUACUUCUAGGGGGCUGACCGGAGGCCAUGCCGGAAAGUUCUCUAUGCUUCCAGAGAAGGCAAGCUGACUAUGGUCUUCAUAAAGAUUCUGGAAAAAUAUGGUCCAGUGCAUACAAACAAUGCAAAACUGAAUUAUUCAAAAAGGCUUUUUACUCAAAUGAGAGAGCUGUAUUGUAGGGAGGGGGUCUCAGAUGUUUCACCAAUGAGACAGGGACCACAGACUUCACUGCUAUGUUGCCUUACAUAUUACCUGUUGCUUUAAAUAUGUACUCUUAUGUACCACCAGUGCUCCGUGUUGUCUAAUGUUAGUCCUAGAAUUGAUUAUGUUCUGCUUCAGUAUUUUUCCUACUCUGUAUUGGAUUCCUGCUAAUACUAUGUCUUUAAACUUGUAUCUAUUUACCCUAUGGCAUUUUUAUGGACAUGUCCUUGAUACUGUAUUGAAAUGUACUUGAUACUGAUUGCACUAAUCUCAUACUGUGUAAUCUGCCUUGAGUCGCAGCGAGAAAGGCAGACUAUAAAUAAAUAAAUAAAGGAAGGAAGGAAGGAUGCAGAUGCAUACAAAUAGCAGCCUUUUCCUUCCAGAUGCACAUAUGCCAUGAUCUGGAAAUAAGGCUCCUUUUUAUGGUUAAAACGUCUCAGAGUAUUUUCAUGGGUGGAGGAAUAUGUGCUCAUGGAAUGCAGCUUUAGAACCUCCAUCUUCCCAUGACUACCUGAUAUGCUCCCCCAAAUCCUGUUCCUGGGGUUCCCUGCCCUACACAUAAAAGAUUUUAGGUGACAUUUCAGGCAGCAGAGUGAGAGGGGAGACCAGAAAGCGGCAAACUGACAGCGCAUAUCCUUCCACCUGUGGAUAUAUUCUGAGAUCCAAGCUGUUGCUGUGUUCAUACCAUGGUAUAAGUUAAGAAAUUCAUCCAUUGAAUCUGCAAACUGCAUAGAUUUUUUAACAGCCUCCUACCAUGGGAGUAUGCAUGUGUGUCUGCCCCACAACUCUGUAUCCAUCUGUAACUGGCCACCCUGUCCCACAGGUUUGUUUGGUUUGAACGGAUGAAGCAAUAUAUGUAUGGCUGUUUUUAGUAUUGUAUUGUUAUUUGCUGAUUUUAUAUUUUAUGCUGCCAAUUUUAUUGUAUAUCUUAUAUGUUGUG
Long non-coding RNA from Eublepharis macularius, 2499 nucleotides. RefSeq lists it as uncharacterized. Lineage: Eukaryota; Metazoa; Chordata; Lepidosauria; Squamata; Eublepharidae. The transcript has 3 exons. The record is from RefSeq and is a predicted model, not a curated record.